Molecule: long non-coding RNA, 205 nt
Organism: Arabidopsis thaliana (thale cress)
Lineage: Eukaryota; Viridiplantae; Streptophyta; Magnoliopsida; Brassicales; Brassicaceae
Product: other RNA
Exons: 1
Source: RefSeq
ACUCAUCAACUCGCAUACAUACAUGAGCAGACGUAGUGAGAGAAGAUUGGUGCAUAUGCCCCGAGCCAAGUUUAAAAAAAAACUAUUCUGAUUGUAAUUUGAUUACUUUUGAUGGUAAAAAUAGUUGUCCCCACAAAAUUUUGGUUCAAUCGUUUCCUUGCACCAAGUACCUAAUUUUGUUUUGUCUUUUCUAGCCACCGUUAGA